AGGCGUAUAGCUCAGUUGGUAGAGCUACGGUCUCCAAAACCGUGGGUCGAGGGUUCAAGUCCUUCUGCGCCUG
This 73-nucleotide transfer RNA is filed under the name Treponema sp. RNAcentral describes it as "tRNA-Trp". It matches the Rfam family "tRNA". Rfam says of the family: Transfer RNA (tRNA) molecules are approximately 80 nucleotides in length. Their secondary structure includes four short double-helical elements and three loops (D, anti-codon, and T loops). The record is from RNAcentral. Lineage: Bacteria; Pseudomonadati; Spirochaetota; Spirochaetia; Treponematales; Treponemataceae.